Molecule: ribosomal RNA, 519 nt
Filed under: Bifidobacterium breve
Lineage: Bacteria; Bacillati; Actinomycetota; Actinomycetes; Bifidobacteriales; Bifidobacteriaceae
Description: bacterial SSU rRNA
Rfam family: Bacterial small subunit ribosomal RNA
Source: RNAcentral
UGAUCGCAUGGUGUUCUGGGAAAGCCUUUGCGGCAUGGGAUGGGGUCGCGUCCUAUCAGCUUGAUGGCGGGGUAACGGCCCACCAUGGCUUCGACGGGUAGCCGGCCUGAGAGGGCGACCGGCCACAUUGGGACUGAGAUACGGCCCAGACUCCUACGGGAGGCAGCAGUGGGGAAUAUUGCACAAUGGGCGCAAGCCUGAUGCAGCGACGCCGCGUGAGGGAUGGAGGCCUUCGGGUUGUAAACCUCUUUUGUUAGGGAGCAAGGCAUUUUGUGUUGAGUGUACCUUUCGAAUAAGCACCGGCUAACUACGUGCCAGCAGCCGCGGUAAUACGUAGGGUGCAAGCGUUAUCCGGAAUUAUUGGGCGUAAAGGGCUCGUAGGCGGUUCGUCGCGUCCGGUGUGAAAGUCCAUCGCUUAACGGUGGAUCCGCGCCGGGUACGGGCGGGCUUGAGUGCGGUAGGGGAGACUGGAAUUCCCGGUGUAACGGUGGAAUGUGUAGAUAUCGGAAAGAAACACCA